Molecule: ribosomal RNA, 497 nt
Filed under: uncultured bacterium
Lineage: Bacteria
Description: partial 16S ribosomal RNA
Rfam family: Bacterial small subunit ribosomal RNA
Source: RNAcentral
GAUGAACGCUGGCGGCGUGCCUAAUACAUGCAAGUCGAGCGAACAGACGAGGAGCUUGCUCCUCUGACGUUAGCGGCGGACGGGUGAGUAACACGUGGAUAACCUACCUAUAAGACUGGGAUAACUUCGGGAAACCGGAGCUAAUACCGGAUAAUAUAUUGAACCGCAUGGUUCAAUAGUGAAAGACGGUUUUGCUGUCACUUAUAGAUUGAUCCGCGCCGCAUUAGCUAGUUGGUAAGGUAACGGCUUACCAAGGCAACGAUGCGUAGCCGACCUGAGAGGGUGAUCGGCCACACUGGAACUGAGGCACGGUCCAGACUCCUACGGGAGGCAGCAGUAGGGAAUCUUCCGCGAUGGGCGAAAGCCUGACGGAGCAACGCCGCGUGAGUGAUGAAGGUCUUCGGAUCGUAAAACUCUGUUAUUAGGGAAGAACAAAUGUGUAAGUAACUAUGCACGUCUUGACGGUACCUAAUCAGAAAGCCACGGCUAACUACGUG